GCCCAGACCACCAGCUAAGGUCCCCAAAUCAUCACUAAGUGAAAAAGGAGGUGGGGUUGCAAAGACAACUAGGAGGUUUGCCUAGAAGCAGCCACCCUUGAAAGAGUGCGUAAUAGCUCACUAGUCAAGCGAUCCUGCGCCGAAAAUGAAAGGGGCUAAGUGAUGUACCGAAGCUGUGGGAUUAGAAAUAAUCGGUAGGGGAGCGUUCCGUAGUAGUGAGAAGCAGUAGCGGCGAGCAGCUGUGGACGAGACGGAAGUGAGAAUGUCGGCUUGAGUAGCGCAAACAUUGGUGAGAAUCCAAUGCCCCGAAACCCUAAGGGUUCCAGAGGCAGGUUCGUCCACUCUGGGUUAGUCGGGACCUAAGGCGAGGUCGAAAGGCGUAGUCGAUGGAGACCGGGUCAACAAUCCCGGACUACAAUAUGGGAGCAAAACUAGGGACGCAUGAAAGAUAGCCACACCCUGAAUGGAUUGGGAAGACCGUUACGACGGUCGAGUGGUAAAGGAAAGUGCCAAGAAAAGCUAGGGUUGUGAUGAACAUAUAGUACCCGUACCCGAAACCGACACAGGUAGGGAGGUUGAGAAUACCAAGGGGCGCGAGAUAACUCUCUCUAAGGAACUCGGCAAAAUGGCCCCGUAACUUAGGAAGAAGGGGUGCCUGCCGAAAGGCAGGUCGCAGUGAAGAGAUCCAGGCGACUGUUUACCAAAAACAUAGGUCUCCGCUAACUCGAAAGAGGACGUAUGGGGGCUGACGCCUGCCCAGUGCCGGAAGGUUAAGGAAGUUGGUCAGUGGAAACAUAAAGCUGACGACCGAAGCCCCGGUGAACGGCGGCCGUAACUAUAACGGUCCUAAGGUAGCGAAAUUCCUUGUCGGGUAAGUUCCGACCCGCACGAAAGGCGUAACGAUCUGGAUGGUGUCUCAGAGAGAGACUCGGCGAAAUAGGAAUGUCUGUGAAGAUACGGACUACCUGCACCUGGACAGAAAGACCCUAUGAAGCUUUACUGUAGCCUGGAAUUGUGUUCGGGCUUGGCUUGCGCAGGAUAGGUGGGAAGCGAAGAACUUCUCCUUGAGGGGGGAAGGGAGCUAACGGUGAGAUACCACUCUGGCGAAGCUAGAAUUCUAACUCAUCACCGUAAGCCGGUGAGAGGAAAGUUUCAGGUGGGCAGUUUGACUGGGGCGGUCGCCUCCUAAAAGGUAACGGAGGCGCGCAAAGGUUCUCUCAGCACGCUUGGAAACCGUGCGACGAGUGUAAAGGCAAAAAGAGAGCUUGACUGCAAGACCAACAAGUCGAGCAGGGACGAAAGUCGGCCUUAGUGAUCCGACGGCGCAGCAUGGAAUGGCCGUCGCUCAACGGAUAAAAGUUACUCUAGGGAUAACAGGCUGAUCUCCCCCAAGAGUCCACAUCGACGGGGAGGUUUGGCACCUCGAUGUCGGCUCAUCGCAACCUGGGGCGGAAGUACGUCCCAAGGGUUGGGCUGUUCGCCCAUUAAAGCGGUACGUGAGCUGGGUUCAGAACGUCGUGAGACAGUUCGGUCCAUAUCCGGUGCAGGCGAAAGAACAUUGAGAGGAGUCCUCCUUAGUACGAGAGGACCGGGAGGAACGAACCGCUGGUGUACCAGUUAUUCCGCCAGGAGUAGACGCUGGGUAGCCAAGUUCGGAGAGGAUAACCGCUGAAAGCAUCUAAGUGGGAAGCCCACCUUAAGAUGAGUGUUCUCACUACGAGAGUAGGUAAGGUCACGGGGAGAAGACCCGUUGAUAGGCUUUAUGUGGAAGUACAGUAAUGUAUGUAGCAGAGGAGUCCUAACAGACCGAGGGCUUGACCUC
RNAcentral lists this non-coding RNA (1822 nucleotides) under Raphidiopsis brookii D9. RNAcentral describes it as "bacterial LSU rRNA". It matches the Rfam family "Bacterial large subunit ribosomal RNA", at positions 1025 to 2925 of the family's 2925-position model. The record is from RNAcentral. Lineage: Bacteria; Bacillati; Cyanobacteriota; Cyanophyceae; Nostocales; Aphanizomenonaceae.